This is a long non-coding RNA of Rhipicephalus microplus (southern cattle tick), 509 nucleotides long. The record is from RefSeq and is a predicted model, not a curated record. Lineage: Eukaryota; Metazoa; Arthropoda; Arachnida; Ixodida; Ixodidae.
GGUGAAUGUGACUUCAACAGAACGAAAGUAGCACCAGGGCAUCCCCUGAGCCUGGAAGAGCCUUGCGAAAUGUAGACUUGCAGUACACACGAUGGGCAAACCGGUCACCUUUCAAUAGAAGGAUGCGGAACCGUGGUGGCUGGUGCCAGCUGCCAAAAAGUCAAGGGUACCGGUGUCUAUUCAGGCUGUUGUGAAAUUUUGAUCUGCAAUUGAGAGUUUCGUUGGUUACGGAAAGGCUAUCAAAGAUUGACGGGAACUUCUAGCAUUAAUUUGGAUAUUUACAUUGCAUGUGAAUAUAGUUGCCAGUCUGAGCACCAGUUCUAAUCGUAUAGGCCGGUGUUGAUGCAUUGACGUCAACCGAAAUAUUCCGCUUCACCUUCUUCAUACUUCCAUCAUAACUAAUACAAAUCUAUCCGUGGUCUCUGCCUUUCAAGCCCUCUGAGACUUUGAUUUUUACUGCUCUGAUGCUUUUUCAAGAUAUUAUUAAAAUAUACUGUUAUUAUAAAUAA